RNAcentral lists this unclassified non-coding RNA (201 nucleotides) under Hevea brasiliensis (rubber tree). The record is from RNAcentral. Lineage: Eukaryota; Viridiplantae; Streptophyta; Magnoliopsida; Malpighiales; Euphorbiaceae.
GUGCAGUUCAGAUUCUUUACCUGAAGAUGGAAGCAUAUCCACAUCCCACAACAUUGCAUAGUCAGAGAAGCUUUUCUGAAGUAAAACUGUUACCAGGUCGCUCUCCUUUUCUAUAUCCUCAACGAAGGCUUUCUUUACCAGAAACUCCCUUUCUUCCUUCUGACGAUCUCUCAGACGAGAGCUUCGAACCCCAGGCAGCAG